This 253-nucleotide ribosomal RNA is filed under the name uncultured bacterium. RNAcentral's name for it is "partial 16S ribosomal RNA". It matches the Rfam family "Bacterial small subunit ribosomal RNA", at positions 524 to 776 of the family's 1533-position model. The record is from RNAcentral.
GACAGAGGUGCCGAGCGUUAGGCGGAAUCACUGGGCUUAAAGCGUGUGUAGGCGGACCGUUAAGUACCUUGUGAAAUCCCACGGCUCAACCGUGGAACGGCUGGGUAUACUGGCGGUCUUGGGCCACCUAGGGGCGAGCGGAACAAGCGGUGGAGCGGUGAAAUGCGUAGAUAUCAUCUGGAACGCCAAUGGUGAAAACAGGUAGCUGGGAGUGUGCUGACGCUGAGACACGAAAGCCAGGGGAGCGAACGGG